This 270-nucleotide ribosomal RNA is filed under the name uncultured bacterium. RNAcentral's name for it is "partial 16S ribosomal RNA". It matches the Rfam family "Bacterial small subunit ribosomal RNA", at positions 793 to 1055 of the family's 1533-position model. The record is from RNAcentral.
GUCCACGCCCUAAACGAUGUGCACUAGAUUGUGGUGGCUCUGACGCCAGCACGGUCGAAGCAAAAGUGGUAAGUGCACCGCCUGGGGAGUACGGUCGCAAGACUAAAACUCAAAGGAAUUGACGGGGGCUCACACAAGCGGUGGAGCAUGUGGCUUAAUUCGAAGCAACGCGAAGAACCUUAUCCUGGGUUUGACAUGCACGGAUUAACUCCGGGAAACCGGAGCCACGCCCUUUGGGUGGAACGUGCACAGGUGCUGCAUGGCUGUCGU